AUCGCUUCUCGGCCUUUUGACUAAGAUCAAGUGUAGUAUCUGUUCUUACCAGUUUAAAAAUUAACAGCCUUUGUAUUUUAACUAUUGUCUAAUGCUGAUUUGAGUCUGGUGUCUAUGAAUUACCGGUUAUGAUCCUGGUAGGCUGUAUUUCAUGUCUACCUCACACAUUCUAGGGAGAUGGAAGAUUUGUU
Ochotona princeps (American pika) is the source of this 191-nucleotide small nuclear RNA. Its record names the gene U2. It matches the Rfam family "U2 spliceosomal RNA". Rfam says of the family: U2 is a small nuclear RNA (snRNA) component of the spliceosome (involved in pre-mRNA splicing). Complementary binding between U2 snRNA (in an area lying towards the 5' end but 3' to hairpin I) and the branchpoint sequence (BPS) of the intron results the bulging out of an unpaired adenosine, on the BPS, which initiates a nucleophilic attack at the intronic 5' splice site, thus starting the first of two transesterification reactions that mediate splicing. The record is from Ensembl. NCBI's taxonomy places the organism in Eukaryota, Metazoa, Chordata, Mammalia, Lagomorpha, Ochotonidae.